AUAUCAGAAGCUCUGAUGGAGCAUUCUUCGUCGCCGCCGCCGCCUCCUCCUCCAAUUACGCUGAGAUAGAGGCACUUUUGCUGCCGCUUCCACCCCUCCAUGCCCCACUCCCUGCCUUUUGCACAACUCAAGUUGAAAUUUUGGGGUUCCAAUUAGUUUCUAUUAGUCUUUUCCUUCCCCUCUUUGUGUUGACUUGUGCCUCCACCUCCGCUG
RNAcentral lists this long non-coding RNA (213 nucleotides) under Coffea arabica (coffee). Its description in RNAcentral is "long non-coding RNA (CARA_LNC001179)". Lineage: Eukaryota; Viridiplantae; Streptophyta; Magnoliopsida; Gentianales; Rubiaceae. The record is from RNAcentral.